Molecule: ribosomal RNA, 426 nt
Filed under: Vibrio sp.
Lineage: Bacteria; Pseudomonadati; Pseudomonadota; Gammaproteobacteria; Vibrionales; Vibrionaceae
Description: bacterial SSU rRNA
Rfam family: Bacterial small subunit ribosomal RNA
Source: RNAcentral
UAGAGUUUGAUCAUGGCUCAGAUUGAACGCUGGCGGCAGGCCUAACACAUGCAAGUCGAGCGGAAACGAGUUAUCUGAACCUUCGGGGAACGAUAACGGCGUCGAGCGGCGGACGGGUGAGUAAUGCCUAGGAAAUUGCCCUGAUGUGGGGGAUAACCAUUGGAAACGAUGGCUAAUACCGCAUGAUGCCUACGGGCCAAAGAGGGGGACCUUCGGGCCUCUCGCGUCAGGAUAUGCCUAGGUGGGAUUAGCUAGUUGGUGAGGUAAGGGCUCACCAAGGCGACGAUCCCUAGCUGGUCUGAGAGGAUGAUCAGCCACACUGGAACUGAGACACGGUCCAGACUCCUACGGGAGGCAGCAGUGGGGAAUAUUGCACAAUGGGCGCAAGCUCUGAUGCAGCCAUGCCGCGUGUGUGAAGAAGGCCUU